RNAcentral lists this ribosomal RNA (806 nucleotides) under uncultured Pelagibacteraceae bacterium. RNAcentral describes it as "bacterial SSU rRNA". It matches the Rfam family "Bacterial small subunit ribosomal RNA", at positions 33 to 887 of the family's 1533-position model. The record is from RNAcentral. Lineage: Bacteria; Pseudomonadati; Pseudomonadota; Alphaproteobacteria; Candidatus Pelagibacterales; Candidatus Pelagibacteraceae.
ACGCUGGCGGCACGCCUAACACAUGCAAGUCGAACGAAGUAGCAAUACUUAGUGGCAGACGGGUGAGUAACAUGUGGGUAUCUGCCCUUUGGCCUGGAAUAACACGAGGAAACUUGUGCUAAUACCGGAUAAGUCUUUACGGAGAAAGCUUUAUGCACCAUUGGAUGAGCCUGCACUUGAUUAGUUUGUUGGUGGGGUAAUGGCCUACCAAGACUUUGAUCAAUAGCUGAUUUGAGAGGAUGAUCAGCCACAUUGGGACUGAGACACGGCCCAAACUCCUACGGGAGGCAGCAGUGGGGAAUCUUGCACAAUGGAGGAAACUCUGAUGCAGCGAUGCCGCGUGAGUGAAGAAGGCCUUUGGGUUGUAAAGCUCUUUCGUCGGGGAAGAAAAUGACUGUACCCGAAUAAGAAGGUCCGGCUAACUUCGUGCCAGCAGCCGCGGUAAUACGAAGGGACCUAGCGUAGUUCGGAAUUACUGGGCUUAAAGAGUUCGUAGGUGGUUGAAAAAGUUGGUGGUGAAAUCCCAGAGCUUAACUCUGGAACUGCCAUCAAAACUUUUCAGCUAGAGUUUGAUAGAGGAAAGCAGAAUUUCUAGUGUAGAGGUGAAAUUCGUAGAUAUUAGAAAGAAUACCAAUUGCGAAGGCAGCUUUCUGGAUCAUUACUGACACUGAGGAACGAAAGCAUGGGUAGCGAAGAGGAUUAGAUACCCUCGUAGUCCAUGCCGUAAACGAUGUGUGUUAGACGUUGGAAAUUUAUUUUCAGUGUCGCAGCGAAAGCGAUAAACACACCGCCUGGGGAGUACGACC